GACGAACGCUGGCGGCGUGCUUAACACAUGCAAGUCGAGGGAACCUCGCAAGAGGUGACCGGCGAACGGGUGCGUAACACGUGAGCGACCUUCCGUCUUCUGGGGGAUAGCCGGCCCAACGGCCGGGUAAUACCGCAUACGCUCUCUUGGUUGCAUGACCGAGGGAGGAAACUUCCGGGGGAGGACGAGGGGCUCGCGGCCUAUCAGCUAGUUGGUGCGGUCACGGCGCACCAAGGCGACGACGGGUAGCUGGUCUGAGAGGAUGGCCAGCCACAUUGGGACUGAGAGACGGCCCAGACUCCUACGGGAGGGCAGCAGUGGGGGAAUUUUGGACAAUGGGCGCAAGCCUGAUCCAGCCAUUCCGCGUGCAGGAUGAAGGCCCUCGGGUUGUAAACUGUCUUUUGUACGGAGCGAAAAGCGCUGAGCUAAUACCUCGGCGUCAUGACGGUACCGUAAGAAUAAGCACCGGCUAACUAC
This 477-nucleotide ribosomal RNA is filed under the name uncultured bacterium. Its description in RNAcentral is "bacterial SSU rRNA". It matches the Rfam family "Bacterial small subunit ribosomal RNA", at positions 28 to 504 of the family's 1533-position model. The record is from RNAcentral.